AUGCGCUCUCAAAGAGUCGAGUUGUUUGGGAAUGCAGCUCAAAAUGGGUGGUAAAUUCCAUCUAAAGCUAAAUAUUGGCGAGAGACCGAUAGCGAACAAGUACCGUGAGGGAAAGAUGAAAAGAACUUUGGAAAGAGAGUUAAACAGUACGUGAAAUUGCUGAAAGGGAAACGCUUGAAGUCAGUCGCGCCGUCCAGGGAUCAACCUUGCUGUUGCUUGGUGUACUUUCUGUUCGGUGGGUCAGCAUCAAUUUUGAUCAUUGGAAAAAGAUCAGGGGAAUGUGGCAUCUUCGGAUGUGUUAUAGCCUCUGGUUGCAUACAAUGGUUGGGAUUGAGGAACUCAGCACGCCGCAAGGCCGGGUGUCUCACCACGUACGUGCUUAGGAUGCUGGCAUAAUGGCUUUAAUCGACCCGUCUUGAAACACGGACCAAGGAGUCUAAC
This 441-nucleotide ribosomal RNA is filed under the name Cortinarius porphyroideus. RNAcentral's name for it is "partial large subunit ribosomal RNA". It matches the Rfam family "Eukaryotic large subunit ribosomal RNA", at positions 249 to 679 of the family's 3401-position model. Lineage: Eukaryota; Fungi; Basidiomycota; Agaricomycetes; Agaricales; Cortinariaceae. The record is from RNAcentral.